CACGUAGGGCGCAAGCGUUGUCCGGAAUUAUUGGGCGUAAAGAGCUCGUAGGCGGUCUGUUGCGUCCGCUGUGAAAACUCGGGGCUUAACCCCGAGCCUGCAGUGGAUACGGGCAGACUAGAGGUAGGUAGGGGAGAAUGGAAUUCCCGGUGUAGCGGUGAAAUGCGCAGAUAUCGGGAGGAACACCGGUGGCGAAGGCGGUUCUCUAGUACGGUACUGACGCUGAGACGCGAAAGCGUGGGGAGCGAACAGG
Molecule: ribosomal RNA, 253 nt
Filed under: uncultured bacterium
Lineage: Bacteria
Description: partial 16S ribosomal RNA
Rfam family: Bacterial small subunit ribosomal RNA
Source: RNAcentral